UUUCAUUGCCGUAACUUUUUAUUGCAAAUGACAAAUAAACCUUCUGACCUUGAACUUGAAAGGUGUUGUACAAAUAACAAAAAUUCACCAAUUAUUCAAUCAAGCCCUUGAUGACAACUUCUACUGUAAAAAAGGAUUAAUAAAACAAUCGUGACUGUUGUACAAAUGAAUAUAAUCUGCCACUGGAUUAUUUCCAAACAAAAUAUCAAAUCCAAUUACAAAUUUUCUAUGCCGAUGUUAAAAAGGAUCCAAACUACAUUGACAUUUUUACAUUUUAGUCAUUUAGCAGAUGCGACUUAAAGUACAGUAAUUUCAUACAUUUUAAAAGAGCUAGGUGAAACAACCACACAGUUUAGUGAGUGCAUGCAAAUCAAUAAAUCAGUUAUCAGCAGUCUCUGAAAAACUGCAGUCUGCCAUGUGAAAACUGAAUGACUGAUGGAGAGACAGUAGGUUGGCAGUUCUCCAGUCAUACAUACUUACUCACAUAUUGUAUUUUUUAUAAACUGAUGCAGUGCAGCCUGCCUCUUCCAGAGGCAAACACACACUGUGUUUACUUUUACCCGACCAGAGUCUUUGAGCUUGUAGCUAAGGACCCAGCUCAUCUGUAUCACCUGUGAUGGCAAUUUCUAAAGUCCAAACUAUUUACGAAAAUGGUAGGUAGGUAAACAGUUUUAUUCUUGCAAAGAGAGAAUACACAGGUUACAAAGUAACAAUGAAUAAUCUCUAAAUCAGUAUAGGAAAUGCAUCAGUAUAUAAGGAGGGGAAAAGGGGGUGUGGUAAGAUGCUGCCCCUCUGUCCCAUGUCAACCAAACACACACCCUUUGUUCUAUCACAUGUCCUGGGCUUGACACAAGGGACAUGGUGUCUUCCCUCAUGUGGUUAACUUUCUUAACCCUUAAGGGGGAAUUAAAGCAUCUGAGCAACCUGCUGAUAGGUAGAUGAUUAACCAUUAAGUUACUUGUGGCCAAUCAAGAAUGCCCCCUAGGACAAAACCCAGAUCCCCUCUCCCACACUCCUCUAUGCAUUUAAACAUUGGGACUCAGUCCUUCACUCAGAAUAUAUUUUAUCAGGUUACAGAAAUUUCCCUAACACCCCCCCCCCCCCAUGUUGUGUGGUCCAAUUAGACGGUCACACACACACAUCAGAUAGUCAAAUGUUCCCAAAAUGGUGUCUCUGGCCCAGUAAUCAGAUGGUCACUGGUUCCGAUCCCCGAUUUGACUUGGUUAAAAUAAAGAAAUCUGACGUUGUGACCUCGAACAAGGCACUGCUCCUUUAAGUCGAUCUAGAUGACAGCCUCUGUUAAAUUACUAAAACAUUUAUUUUAAAAGAUGGAUAGCCCGGCCUGUUCAAUACUUCUAACGUGGUGAACUUUAGACACCUGCUGUAUUGUGGCCACGUGGGUGUUCAUUUGUCUAAUAGCUGUCUAGGUCACUGGCCAGUUUGUUUCGACCCAUUUUCUUCAGAAUUAUCUUUGUGGUGUUCACGGCGCCGCCUUCGCAGUAUCUCUCCACCAUCUGAUCCACUGUGGUCAUUCUGUCUGCUUUCUCCAGCUCACAUUUCGGGAUUGGACUAAUGCCUGCCCCACCGCUUUUCAGGUACCACUGGAAUGUCUUCAAUUCCUCUGAAUCCAGUUUUGACAGAGUGUCCAGCAGCAGAAUUGGAACUGGUUUUUUUGUGCCU
Long non-coding RNA from Esox lucius (northern pike), 1680 nucleotides. The record is from Ensembl. NCBI's taxonomy places the organism in Eukaryota, Metazoa, Chordata, Actinopteri, Esociformes, Esocidae.